UAAUGUGAAUUGCAGAAUUCAGUGAAUCAUCGAAUCUUUGAACGCACCUUGCGCUCCUUGGUAUUCCGAGGAGCAUGCCUGUUUGAGUGUCAUUAAAUUCUCAACCUUAUUAGCUUUUGUUAAUGAUGGAUUGGAUGUGGGGGUUUCUUUUGCUGGCUUCUUCACAGAGAUCAGCUCCCCUUAAAUGCAUUAGCUGGUGCCCCGUGUGGACCAUCUAUUGGUGUGAUAAUUAUCUACGCCGUGGAUGUCUGCAAUCAUAUGGGUUUCGCACUGCUUCUAACCGUCUGUUCAUUCGGACAAUACAUGACAAUUUGACCUCAAAUCAGGUAGGACUACCCGCUGAACUUAAGCAUAUCAAUAAGCGGAGGAAAAGAAACUAACAAGGAUUCCCCUAGUAACUGCGAGUGAAGCGGGAAAAGCUCAAAUUUAAAAUCUGGCGGUCUCCGGCCGUCCGAGUUGUAAUCUAGAGAAGUGUUAUCCGCGCUGGACCGUGUACAAGUCUCCUGGAAUGGAGCGUCAUAGAGGGUGAGAAUCCCGUCUUUGACACGGAUUGCCAGGGCUUUGUGAUGCGCUCUCAAAGAGUCGAGUUGUUUGGGAAUGCAGCUCAAAAUGGGUGGUAAAUUCCAUCUAAAGCUAAAUAUUGGCGAGAGACCGAUAGCGAACAAGUACCGUGAGGGAAAGAUGAAAAGAACUUUGGAAAGAGAGUUAAACAGUACGUGAAAUUGCUGAAAGGGAAACGCUUGAAGUCAGUCGCGUUGGCCGGGGAUCAACCUUGCUUUUGCUGGGCGUACUUUCCGGUCGACGGGUCAGCAUCAAUUUUGACCGUUGGAUAAAGUUCAGGGGAAUGUGGCAUCUUCGGAUGUGUUAUAGCCCUUGGUCGCAUACAACGAUUGGGAUUGAGGAACUCAGCACGCCGCAAGGCCGGGUACUUGUACCACGUUCGUGCUUAGGAUGCUGGCAUAAUGGCUUUAAUCGACCCGUCUUGAAACACGGACCAAGGAGUCUAACAUGCCUGCGAGUGUUUGGGUGGAAAACCCGGGCGCGUAAUGAAAGUGAAAGUUGAGAUCCCUGUCGCGGGGAGCAUCGACGCCCGGACCAGACCUUUUGUGACGGAUCCGCGGUAGAGCAUGUAUGUUGGGACCCGAAAGAUGGUGAACUAUGCCUGAAUAGGGUGAAGCCAGAGGAAACUCUGGUGGAGGCUCGUAGCGAUUCUGACGUGCAAAUCGAUCGUCAAAUUUGGGUAUAGGGGCGAAAGACUAAUCGAACCAUCUAGUAGCUG
This 1279-nucleotide ribosomal RNA is filed under the name Pholiota lignicola. RNAcentral describes it as "eukaryotic LSU rRNA". The stretch from base 313 to 1279 matches the Rfam family "Eukaryotic large subunit ribosomal RNA", at positions 1 to 953 of the family's 3401-position model. Lineage: Eukaryota; Fungi; Basidiomycota; Agaricomycetes; Agaricales; Strophariaceae. The record is from RNAcentral.